CAUGACAGCAGUUCGAAAAAUAAAAUCGCGGCCUGUUUGCAUCAUUGAAAUAAACUUGUUUUUCGUUUAAUUCUAUCUCUAAGCUCCAGAAAAAAAAUCCAACACACGGACGAGGAGUUCAUCAAAUUGACCAUGAAAGUGACCGUCUUUAUUCUUUAUCGCCGAUUACAGGCAACAUUCUCGGGAACAUAUACUGCAGUCGGCUCCGAAAGUCCCCAAAAUUGGUUUCCAUUUCAUCCGAUGAAAUACUCAAGUACUUGAUGUAGAUAAUAAAAAAUAUGAUUGUGC
Molecule: long non-coding RNA, 288 nt
Organism: Armigeres subalbatus
Lineage: Eukaryota; Metazoa; Arthropoda; Insecta; Diptera; Culicidae
Exons: 3
Source: RefSeq, a predicted model, not a curated record